RNAcentral lists this ribosomal RNA (269 nucleotides) under uncultured soil bacterium. Its description in RNAcentral is "partial 16S ribosomal RNA". It matches the Rfam family "Bacterial small subunit ribosomal RNA", at positions 26 to 297 of the family's 1533-position model. The record is from RNAcentral.
AGAUUGAACGCUGGCGGCAGGCCUAACACAUGCAAGUCGAGCGGCAGCACGGGUACUUGUACCUGGUGGCGAGCGGCGGACGGGUGAGUAAUGCCUAGGAAUCUGCCUGAUAGUGGGGGAUAACGUUCGGAAACGGACGCUAAUACCGCAUACGUCCUACGGGAGAAAGUGGGGAUCUUCGGACCUCACGCUAUCAGAUGAGCCUAGGUCGGAUUAGCUAGUUGGUAGGUAAAGGCCUACCAAGGCUACGAUCCGUAACUGGUCUGAGA